ACAGCUCCGGUUGCGGGGAGGCCCGGGUGGGUACCCGGCGCUCCGGCUCCCAGUCUCCUGGGCUUCUCCAGUCCUUCAGCGCCGUUCUCCGGUCACAGGGAAUGAAAGCGAGGAAGAAGGAAACGGUGUCGAGAAUUGCGAAGAGAGAAAGCAUAGAAAACCCACAUUAGAGGCACUCCCAGAGCAGAAACCCUUCGGAGCAUCCCGACUUCCUCGGCCCGCGUGCAAUCCAGGCAAAAUUGAGGUUGUCUCUGAGCCGCCCUCCCUAAGCAGGUCGGAAAGCCCCCGAAUCAUCCCAGGUCCCGCCGCGCUGCACUCGCAACCUGGGGUGGAGGUCCCUCUAGUGGUUGGCACCAAACAAAAGUUCUGUCUUAUGAAGAGCCGAGGUCAGGAAGCAUUUCCCUGUGCCCAGCGCCAAGGUCUGGGACCUUAGGUCCAAGAAAAGCGUUGGCAAUGUCUGACCACAGGAAUGGGUUCUCGAACUGGGGAGGACUGAAGCUGGAGAUCUGGUCCAGCCCCUACCUCCAGCGUGUGGCCUGAACCCGUUUUGGUUGUACUGCUAUGUUGUGGCCCUGCCCAGGCCUCCAAGGACUGGCUGCUGUUAAGCUGUUUAAAAUCCCUGUAGGCCUCAGAUGGCAGCGACACCAGGGACUCGGCAUAGUCCCCAGCUCUGGCAGGAGUCACCACAGCCCUAGCCUUUAGUUCUCUACAGGCUGGAGUGUCGACAAACUCCACAGGACACAACUUUUUCAAACCAAAUUUACCCUCGCGGUCUGAAAUGACCAGUAGGCCCAGGAGAAUUUUACAUGUGAACAGAACCUAACCCACCCUGGCAAAUAUGAGACGUGUGGUCACUGCGGGAACCUGGCCAGCAGCAGACCAAAGCACAGCCAGCAGGGGAAGGCUGGGGCCCGCAAGAGUUGUGUUACAACAGGACACCCUUCAGUUCUCUUUCACUUCCUUAAAAUAGCAGCAGAGCGACUUUUGUAGACGCAGGCUGCCACAGUUCACACAAGGUCAUGGCUGUUUCCGAAUCCCACCCUUUAUUGCCCUAGCGGAGCCACUCCCCUUACCUCCGCCCCCAGAAACUGCUAGCCUGUUCUUAAAUUGAUACAGUUACCUUUUUAAAUGUUCUAAGUCACCGGCUCUGGAGCUUCUUUGCACUUUGGAACCAACUUGCGGGAAGGAACUUUAAAAAUACUGAUAUCUCGAUCCAUCCCCAGAGGUUCUGAUUUAAUGGUCUUGGGGAUAUGGCCACGGCAUGAGGACUGUUAAAACUCCGCAGGUGAUUCUUAUGUGCAACAAAGUUUAAGAACCACUGAUGUAGGCCAUGUCGAUGUCAGUCUUCACUUAAAUCCAACAAGACCCCAGAGCUAAAACGUUCACCUGAAAGAAACCCCAUUCCCAGGCCUGCAUACUGACCUGCGCUGGCUCACAAGAAGCAAAGUGGUCCCUUAACAGGGGCUUCCUGGAGAAAAUGUCUUGACCUAAAAGAGUGAUUCGAGCUGCAGGGAUUUAAGAGAGACAGGGCCUUGCUCUGUCACCCAGGCUGAAAUGCAGUGUUGCAAUCUUGGCUCGCUGUAGCCUCAAGCUCUUGGACUCAGGCGAUUCUCCUAUCUCAGCUUCCUAAGUAGCUGGGACUACAGGGCUCAGUGUGGUCAAAAGAAGACUAUAGAAUCAAGGAUGAAGAGAAGGAACACAGAAUAAAAGGACGUCUCAGCAGGAAGCUCUGUGACUACUAUGUAAUUCUUACAAUACAGCAAAUGAUGCCAUACAGUGAAGCACCUUGAAAGAUUGCUGGGAUAAGCUGACAGCAUGGCAGCCAAAAUAGUGACCCCAGGCUUGCAGGAAUUCUGUGCUUUCUGGAGGAAAUGGUCAUGGGUUUCCCAACCUGCCUUUUAAACUAAGGACCGAGCUGAAGAAGCCCCCGUCUUCCAGCGCAUGUUAUUCCCAUGACAGAUGCUAAAAGUUCAAGGGGAGAGCUACAAGAAGUGCGUUUUCCUGUGGCUACUUUCAUGUCUGGAUGCAAUGCCUAGACCUGCAUCCAUCUUGCGACCAACCUGAAGAUGAACAGAAAGGAAGGAAGGAUGGCCCAAUAGCCUGGGAAGAACUGGUGUUCCUGAUACCAUCAUUAACCACAGAAUCUACAAUCCCGGAACCCCCCAUCCUUAACCAUGGAAUCUACAAUCCUAUCUCUAGACCCUUUGUCCAGAUGCUACAGUUUCUUUGUUCAAUCUAGUUUGUGUCAGGAUUUCUGUUCAUUACAUCAAAAGUAUUCUAAUACUUGUAGCAAAGCAACUGGAGAAGUUUUCACUUUGUCUUUAACCAAAGAAGACUUCCAGGAAACAUCUCCUCAGUGGGUUUCUCCCUCACCACUGGAUUUUUAUCUCUGUACUAGUGCUUUGAUUUGUUUUAGGAGUCUCACCUCUCCACCUGUCAUAUUUCCCUGGCAGGCUCAUUUCUGCUAAUGCCCACAAUAUGUGUAUCAAUGAGCUUUCAACGUUAGGUACACAGCUCUUCAGGCAUGUAUAGCACAUUAAUCUGUCUGCUUCUAAGUGGUCUGUUGACAUGUUUGGGUGCCAGUUAUAUCUACAAGGCUGUGAUCAUUGUCCUGGGUUAUUCUGUUUGUUCUCUCUGCAGGAUGCAUUAGGACACCCAAGGCCAUGGCCAUCACUUACAUCUAGGAUUCAAUCUUAUCUCCUGUGAAUCACUGGAAACCUCCUGUCCUGGAACCCUUUUUUUCCACAUCCCACUGGAUGUCAUUCAUAGCAACUGGUCUUGUGGGUUGUCUAUUUUAUUGUGUUGUCUUACUCUUCCUCCUGGUAUCAGUUUUUAAAUCCUCUUGAUGAGAUCAGCUGAUCAGUCGCUAAGCAACAUAGUCCCCCAUGUCUUUGUAAGAUUCUCUGCACUCAUGGCUAGAAUGAUUUAUUCUGGUAUCUUAAGCUGUGUUUCAGAACCUCAUUCUAAAUAUCAACCUAUUCUUGUAAGUCCACUACUGAUCAUCUUUAGAUAUUCUUCAGUCUUCCAGAGUUCCAAAGGGCAGUAGGAAGAAGCAAUGAAAAUACCACCUGUAUUCUCACAUCUUUCAUUGUUCCACUCAAAAAAUACCACCAUGUUCACUUCUGGUGGAACGUUUAUGUCCAUGAGAAGCAGUGGCUUUGAAGAGUUUUGGCAGACUAUGGCGCCUUACUCAACAUUGGGAAGGUAUCUUGCCAUCAGACCUUUUGGGUCUCCAUGAAACUUCUUAUACCCCCUCUGGGAAAAGUCACUAACUGUGAUCUUACUGAGCUUCUAAACACAGCAUUUUUUUUACACUUAAGUGAGCGGGGGUCCUCCUCAUUUGUGCUUCUCUUCUUGUAAGGGUGACUUCCUCCCAGUAGGAUGAAUCUCAUGCCUAUUUGUGUUAUUUUGCUAAUUCCAGCUUCUUUUCUACUCAGGGGGGUUCCAACUCUUUUAAGGUCUCAUCUUCAGCACUUCUAAACUGUGGGAAACUAUGUGAAAACAAAUGGAGUGGCCAAACACACCAUUCAUCACUGUGCUUCUGGACAGCUGCAAGUCCAUACGUGUUCUGGUGAGUCUUCAGGUUGUACGGGAACAGAGGCUGAAUCAAGGCAGUUCAGUGAGAGUCUAGAUGGGAGUGCUUAUGGUGUUCUAUAAUAAAGUACUUAUGGAACAAUAAUAGAAAUGGAUUCUUAGAGAAGCCCAAGAGAAGGAACUAUGAUUGCCUCAUUUCCCUGACAUUUCUAAGUUUGGUGGCAUAAUCUAAUUGACCCAACCCACCUUGGGGUGCCAGGCCAUGUCAUAAGUCACUGGACAGCCCAUAAACAGCUUUCUGGGAGCAUGUCCCCAUCUUGAUCCAAUCACCUGUGGCCAGGACAUUUUACAAACCUCGGUGGUUAGGGCUGCUUGUUCAACAGAUAUUAGGGGUGAAGUUGUACAUGCAUGCAGGGGAGGCUGAGAUGGUAGGCACCGUGAAUAACAUGUUCCAGGGUGGGCUCUGCCUCUUGUCUGCUCUGUAACAUACCCCUGCUUCCUUGUCCUGACCUCUCAUUUGCUAAAGUCUGAUUUCCAGCUUUGAAGUCUCUGCUCAAUCUCUCCAGCCUUCUGCUCAUGUCUUCACCUCCUACCUUGCAGCCUGUCUUUUGACUUGAUGUUGCUUGACUGCAAUUCCUGUGACUUGGCCUUGGGGUCCACUCCCAUGAAAUGCUUCUCUGGCAGCCUUGGCAGGUGUGUCCCAGUGUUCCUGAGUUCCAGUGUUCCUGGCUGUGUCCUUGCACCAGAGCAGGCUGCUUGAGAUUAGACACGCUCCUCCCUCCUAUCAGUCCACCUUGGCUCUGACACUUUCCUCAGCCUCCUUUUCUUUGUCUGCUGGAGCACAGCAAAGUUUCCCAGAAGGUUUAAAUUUACAUUCUUGGUCAAGGUCUCACACCAUCAUGACACUGAAGCAGAUAGAGUGACUUCCUUCUCUUCUAAGCUGUGUGCAUGCCUCCAUGCCCCUACUAGUUUGUAUAAUUCCAGUUUCUAUAAUUUCUUCCAUUCUUUCCUGAAACUUUGUGCUUUCUGUUAAAGUAGGUUUUUAGGGAUAUUUUUCAGGUCGGUUCAUCCCUCUGAAUGUCUUGGGUUUGUCUGAUUGAAGCCAAAUGGACACAGUGAGUGUUUCCUUUCUGAGUGGAGGGAGGUGGCUCUUGCAUCACCUUUGGGUCCUUUAGAGCUUUAGAGUAAAUGCUCAAAGACUGCCCACAGCUGGAUUUGCUGGCUGUGAAUUAGAUCUGGGAGGAGAGGACUUAGCAGGAAAAAGCUUCUGUAUCUAAUGCUGAAAUCAGAGAUGAAGUCUGAACAGAAGUGCGACAUCCAAGAGUCAGGGGCGGGAUGUAGGAGGUGCAUGGGAUGACAGGGGCGGGGCUCUGAUCUGAGAAGGGCAGUUUCAAUGUGCACAGCAGAGCACUGGGGAGGGGAUGUGUUGUUCCAUACAAGCUGAUGGAAGUUGAUAGAAGAAUAGGAACAAGGCUUGGAUGGUGGCAAAAGACCUACCUGCACCAAUGUGAAAAAAGGGGCCCUUUCAAGGCUGAGCCAGGUUGGAAGAGGGCAGAGCUGCUUCCAGGACACCAGAGAGUGCAGCAAGUAUGCAGAGAAAACCUGGGCACCAAGAGACCUGGGAGAGAGGAGGCAGAUGGGUGGGCCAAAGUUCUGGUAGUUGGGAAAGGUGAUAGAAAGCACUGCAUUAAUGCUGGGUCCUCUGCCCUUGUACUAAGAGCAGCACAUGGCUGCCUCUGAAUCCUGCCCAUGGAGUAACAUUUGCUUCCAUAUGCCACAAAGAUGAGAUGGGGCCCUGAUGUGCCUGUUAUAGGAGGGCAGAGCAUCCUGUGUGCUCUGUGAGAAGAGCUGGGCCACGUAUCUCCAGGUCAAAGCCCGCACAGCAGUUAUCCCCUCCCUCUCUUGUAUCUUCAACCUUUCCUUUCCUAUUGGGAAGGAUUUCCGUAUUUCCAAGAGCCUGCUCAAGUGGGGUCAGCAUGUGUCUCUGGUCACCACCCUCUCCCCUGUGGAAGGCUGACAACUCUCCCAUCUAUACAAAAUUUGAAACCACCAAUUAUAUGAUUGACACUAUUACACUGGAACAAUUUCCUGUCAGACUCCCCCACCAGACUCUUUACAGGCCGGUGCUUCAUCUACAUCUCUCUGUCCACAGCACUUGGUGUAGUAUUCGCAACCUAGCAGGAAUGAAAGAGUCCGUGUGGAGUCAAGCACCUCAGGGAACCCCUUGAAAGCAGUGACACAUACCUCCAACAAGAAUUGCCUCUUCCUUCCUUCUGUGGCUUUGCACAGCAUUUUUCUUUAAUUAUAAACACAGUUGGUCUCUCUAUGCUGUUUAGGCUAAGCACAGCACAGCUUCAAACUGGAAGGUUAAAUAUUUGUGGUAAAAAUAACUUAUUUGUGCCCAUGCAAAUGUGGCAACACAAACUCAGGCAUGUAGUGUUCUAUGCAGAGAAGCUAAAACCAAGGAAUGACAUUAAUUUCCGGUGAAAAUAUGUGAUGACAAUCUUAGAAUUCUGGCUUUUCAGAAAAAAAAAAAAUCACUCUAGAGGGUCCUAAAAAUAUGGGCAGUUGGUGAUGAGUCCAUAUUCCUUCUUAUCACUCCCACACUGGAUCCAAAUACAGUGGUCGUUUUCAAAGUGCAUAUCACACAGUGUUUAUUGAAUCCAUAAUGGGCAGUGGCCCAUUAUGGGUUUGUGAAAUUAAUUUAAUGAUUGUGACCAGUAGUCUAUUUUUAAUGAAAAAAAAUUAAAAAGUGCAUCACGUUAUGUUUAUUAAUUUCGUGAAACUUUUGUUUCAGUUUUAUAUCUAUGUCCAUGUCAUGACUGAAAUGUAUAUCUAAAUGUGAAUCAAUGCCAAGAACAUUUGUGGCACACUGCUCCCUUCCAUGUAGAACUGGGGACUUAUUGAAAUACUGUGCUACACCUUACAUUCUUAACACUAAAGUCUUUGUGAAGCACUGGAAAUUCCAAGAGCCAGAGAAAUGAGAAACUUAGGCUAUCUCUGGAAAAGUUAUCCUUAUUUAAGCACUACAAUAGAACAAUAAAAAAUAAGCUACUGGAAAGCCUGGGUAGAGUUACAGUUUCCCAGAAUCUUAAUUGGCUGCAGAAAGGAAACAAACACUUGUCCAGCGUCUUUCACUGCUUUCACCAGAUAUUAUGCUAGGUGCUUUCAGGUAUGUUGUAUCAUUUAAUCAUCCUCACACAGUUAUCUAAAACUAGCUACUGAUAUCCCCAUUUUACAGAAGAGGAAAUGAAUCCUCAGAGAGAUGAGAUAAUUUGCUCAAGCUCAGCAGCUCGAAGUGGCUGAGCUGUAAUUAGGUUCCUCUUCCUGUUAGACACUAGUAACAACAGCACAGCUGAGGUCGUCCACCAGGAAGUUGAGCUGGGUCACGUCUUCCUCUUUGAUUAAAUGAUUUUGCUCUCCUCAAUUUGUCUGCUUCGAUCACAGUAGCUCUUGCAUUUAUCUGUUUUAGACCUUCAACUUUCAAAUUAGAUUUGACUUCAUCAAAGAAUUUGGCCAAAAACAAACAAACAAACAAACAAAAAAACCAACUGGACACCACUGUAUUAAACAAGUAAUUUAAGUCUUUGUGUGUAUGCUUAAGUUUGCUAAGAGCUCUUACAUUUGUACAUAUACAUGCAUAUAAACAGCAUAUUACAAAUAAUCUAGAAACAUAUAGGAGCACCAUGGACCCUCAGUCUGAGAUCCGACUAAGCAACUUCUCAUUUUACAAUUCAAAUGCAAAUCCAUGUUAAUCCUACUGAAGAUACUGUCCCCACUUUCCCUCCCUCCAAGGCCACCAAAUUCCUUUCCCUGUGGCUGGCUGCUGCACCAACACUUCUCUCCCUUUUCCUAACCUGCUCUUUCUUCAGUUUCUUUACUGCCUGGAAGGAACCUUAUAGGUAACCUACUAUCCUACCCACCUCAAUAGCAAGCAUGUCCUGCUCAGCAGCACAGAGCCUUAAAAACAGAGGCCACCUAAUGUUCUCUUAGCAUGGAGUGGAUAGUGAUGGUGGAAGGGCUCAGUCCUUAAAUUCCAAGCCCUCCUCUCUAAAAUUGGAAUGGGUGAAGUCCUGAAUCUGGCCCAGAUCUGUUUCUCCUAUAAUAGUCCUGGCUCACCAUUAUUCCCUGUCUCAUGGAGUUCUCUUCUGGUCUUUUCAGCUGAUUUUUUUUUUUCUUUUUCUAGAUGAAGUCUGGCUCUGUUGCCCAGGCUGGAGUGCAAUGGCACAGUCUCGGCUCACUGCAACCUCUGCCUCCUGGGUUCAUGCAAUUCUCCUGCCUCAGCUUCCCAAGUAGCUGGGAUUACAGACAUGCACCACCAUGCCCAGCUAAUUUUUGUAUUUUUAGUACAAACAGGGUUUCACUAUGUUAGUCGGGCUGAUCUUGAACUCCUGACCUCAAGUGAUCCACUCCCCGCAGCCUCCCAAAGUGCUGGGAUUACAGGCGUGAGCCACUGCGCCCGGCCUUUCAGCUGAUUUUCUAAUCAAGAAGUUAUAUCAGUCUUUGUCUGCAGUUGCUCAAAGACUCUCUUUUAAAGUGCAGAGACUAUCCACCUCAGCUAUAGCACAGGGCUCAGCACUGUAUUUCCAGUUAUGGAAUACAGUUAUUUCAUAUAUGUUAUAUUAUUCUUAAUUCUGUCCCUAGUUCCUGCUACUGAGGAAGUCCAUACUCAGCAGGACAGUCUCCUGGUCUGCCAUGAAUUCAAACACAAUCUGUAAAGACAGUGAAGGAAGCUACAUCUGUGCAUGGGGGCUUUAGAGAAUUAUUGGCUUGAAGCAAUAAGAGGAACAUCUGGGCUGAGUAGUCCUCGAAGACUCUCAUGUGAUUCAAAAGUCCUUUUCUUCCUUAUUAUUUCCUAUCUUGCUCUCAAGCAUCUCCUCUGGCAGCAGCAACUGGAACUAAAAGUGAUUUCUCUAUAACAGCGAGCAAGUUUCUCAUGGCCUUUGCUAUUAACUCUUUCAUGCCUGCUGACCUGCAAAAGAAUCAGGAGGGCUGGUGCUGGAGCAGAUGGCGCACUGUGAGUGAUGGUUUAGAUUCUGCCUGGACUCAAACCAUUUGGUUGAUGGCGGGAACCUUGAUUUUCCCCCUUCUUAUCCUGAGAGUGUAGGGUUUCUCUGAAUUAUUAUUUCUUUCUUUGCAAGGAUCCCUGGAUCCUCAUUCCUGAUAUAAGACUAGUUCUAGGUAAGUGCACAUUCAUGUGAUAUAUUGGUUCCAUACUAGGCAAUGGAAGUGCCACAUUAUCUGUAAGGAGCAGGAGAAGAGCCAUUAGCCCCAGUCCUGGGAACGAACUUUCUGUAACUUUAAGAAACAUAAAACUUUAAAUGCAACUGAAAGAUUAUAUUCUGUCACCUCCAACUACUCACCCAUAAAUACAAUAGGCACCACGGAGGCUAGGAUAAAGUGCAAAUUUAAGAUUAUAAGUGUGCUUAUAAUAAAUAUUGACAACAUCAUGCCUUCAAUGUUAUCAAUGUUGAUGUCACCCUGCAGGCCCAAGGUAGAGAGGUAGAACUGCUCCGCUGGCUGCCCUGCCAUACUUUGGGGUCAUGUGAUACGAUCUUCCAUAGCCACGGGGCCUUGGUUGUCAACUCAUUCCUGAACUUUGUGUGCCAAAGUGAGUCCAGCUUCCACACCCUUCACCUCCACCACCAGGCUGAUCCAGACUGCCAGGCUACGAUCCUCCAAGCAGGAUCCUACCUUGAUCUUAAAAACUUCCUAUGAAGAGCUCUACCAUCAUGUUUUCUAAAACCAGAAGCCCACCCUAAUCCCUGCCUGGCUUUUGGUUCCUUCAUUAGAGGCAAUCACUGCCAUAGAGAGCCCCACUCACUAUCCCUCCAUAGACGCCUUAGAACUAGGUUGGGAGCACGAGAUGCUCAGCCUUUAUAUUUUGUUAUCUUGAACCACAUGGGAGUCUUUGAGGACUACCCAGCCCAGACAUUUCUCUUAUUACUGCAAGCCGAUAAUUCUCUAAAGCACCUAAGCACAGACGUAGCUUCCUUCACUGUCUUUACAGAUUGUGUUUGAAUUCAUGGCACAGCAGAAGACUGUCCUGCUGUGUAUGGAGUUCCUCAGUAGCAGGAACUAGGGACAGAAUUGAGAAUAGCACUAACACCAGAAAUACAGUGCUGAGCCCUGUGCUGUAGCUGAGGUGGAUGGUCUCUGACUCUGUGGGCCUCUCUGCAGCCAGUCCAAUUCCUGUCUUUCUCUUGUGAAUAAAUGUUGCUGGCUCCAACUCAGCCUUAUUUUUUGAUGUGAUUCUGACUCCAGUCAUUAAGGGGGAUGUCUUAG
RNAcentral lists this long non-coding RNA (9819 nucleotides) under Homo sapiens (human). Its description in RNAcentral is "non-protein coding lnc-CYB5R2-3:20". The record is from RNAcentral. Lineage: Eukaryota; Metazoa; Chordata; Mammalia; Primates; Hominidae.